AGAAUGGAACCCAGUGGGGGGACAGUAGGGAGCAGCCUGUGAACCGGCCACAGGCCAUGGUGGAAAUGAAAGGAAAGGCCCCUCCCUGCUAGUGAAGGAUGGGCCCAGGGCGUUAGGCUUUUCCCUGGUGUUCUGAGUGUCUCCAGGGAUCACAGGACAAGACCAGAGGCCCCUGUGGACCUUCUGCUGGGGAAGGAACUGGGCGGAGAGAUCCGGGGAAAAACAGGCGGGGGGGGGCUCUGCAGCCUGUGGCUUUGGGGUGAUGCUGCCUGCUGUCCUCAUCCACAGAGAAACCUCGCCCAGAUUUCUUUGGUUUGGGGCAAGAAGGAAAGCCGAAGAUGUCCUGCUCUCCUCACUCCAUUCUGGAUAUAACCGAGACAGGCCCUGCGUGCCCCUCGCCCCCAGGGCUGGGGUCUGAGCGUCCUCCCUCCCUCCCUCCCUCCCUCCCCCUCGGCUCUCCCCCUCUGCUUUCCUUUCCUCUGGAUGCCGUCACUCCACAUGGAGCCUUCUGGAAUACUGAAUAGAUCUUAAUUAAGUUUCAUUUUUAAAAAAUCCUAGACGUGCUCCCUUCCAAUUUUCAUGUGAAUCUCCUAACGACUUCAUUGACCUGCUGAUUUCACACACAGAAAUGGCCAUGGUCUCCUCUGUGUCGUCCCCAGAGGAUCACAGCAGCCGCCGCCGCAGCUUCUAUGCUAUCACGUCUGCGAGUGACCUGGAUGUCACCAUCUGCACCAGAGUGCCCUUGGCUGAGCGGAGGUCGCCAGAUGGCCAGCCACUGUGCUAUCAUGACUGUAUCGUGCGUUUACUCCUCUGGACCAUUUACACGAAGCUUGCUGGCAAUGUCCCCAGCGAAGCUGACAGACUGCUGCAUUGUACAACUGCAAUCACAGAAGUACUCAUCUGUUCUCCAACAAGGGCUCAUGAUGAAGAUGACCCAGCACUGAUUUUCAAAAUAGACCUUAAUUAAGGAAAAAUGAAAUUUCUAAAGGUCUAAAUGCAUUUAUAGUUUGGGUUUCACUUGUCCUCUCGUUUAUUCUUCUAAUUUCUGGGACAUUAAAAUGGACAUCUUAAAGUAA
Molecule: non-coding RNA, 1076 nt
Organism: Marmota flaviventris (yellow-bellied marmot)
Lineage: Eukaryota; Metazoa; Chordata; Mammalia; Rodentia; Sciuridae
Source: RefSeq, a predicted model, not a curated record